Molecule: ribosomal RNA, 467 nt
Filed under: uncultured bacterium
Lineage: Bacteria
Description: bacterial SSU rRNA
Rfam family: Bacterial small subunit ribosomal RNA
Source: RNAcentral
CUCCAGACUCCUACGGGAGGCAGCAGUGAGGAAUAUUGGUCAAUGGUCGGGAGACUGAACCAGCCAAGUCGCGUGAGGGAAGAAUGUCCUAUGGAUUGUAAGCCUCUUUUGUCAGGGAGCAAAGUCACCCACGUGUGGGUGUUGGAGAGUACCUGAAGAAAAAGCAUCGGCUAACUCCGUGCCAGCAGCCGCGGUAAUACGGAGGAUGCGAGCGUUAUCCGGAUUUAUUGGGUUUAAAGGGUGCGUAGGCGGGCUGUUAAGACGGGGGAAAAGGCCCGGGGCUCACCCCGGGCGAGCCGUUGAAACUGGCAGUCUCGAGUUGGAGAGAAGUAUGCGGAAUGCGCGGUGUAGCGGUGAAAUGCAUAGAUAUCGCGCAGAACUCCGAUUGCGAAGGCAGCAUGCCGGCUCCACACUGACGCUGAGGCACGAAAGCGUGGGUAUCGAACAGGAUUAGAUACCCUGGUAUA